CUCUAGCCAGGACCUGACUAC
This 21-nucleotide microRNA is filed under the name Mus musculus (house mouse). Its description in RNAcentral is "mmu-miR-344f-3p". Its record names the gene mmu-miR-344f-3p. The record is from miRBase by way of RNAcentral. Lineage: Eukaryota; Metazoa; Chordata; Mammalia; Rodentia; Muridae.